Nitratireductor pacificus pht-3B is the source of this 58-nucleotide regulatory RNA element. It matches the Rfam family "terC RNA". Lineage: Bacteria; Pseudomonadati; Pseudomonadota; Alphaproteobacteria; Hyphomicrobiales; Phyllobacteriaceae. The record is from Rfam.
CACCCGGACCGGGCCCCUCUGGCAGGCAAGGCGUUGCCUGUGAUGUCGGACCGCACGA